Molecule: ribosomal RNA, 459 nt
Filed under: uncultured Acidovorax sp.
Lineage: Bacteria; Pseudomonadati; Pseudomonadota; Betaproteobacteria; Burkholderiales; Comamonadaceae
Description: bacterial SSU rRNA
Rfam family: Bacterial small subunit ribosomal RNA
Source: RNAcentral
CACAAGCGGUGGAUGAUGUGGUUUAAUUCGAUGCAACGCGAAAACCUUACCACCUUUGACAUGUACGGAAUCCUUUAGAGAUAGAGGAGUGCUCGAAAGAGAGCCGUAACACAGGUGCUGCAUGGCUGUCGUCAGCUCGUGUCGUGAGAUGUUGGGUUAAGUCCCGCAACCGAGCCGCAACCCUUGUCAUUAGUUGCUACAUUCAGUUGGGCACUCUAAUGAGACUGCCGGUGACAAACCGGAGGAAGGUGGGGAUGACGUCAAGUCCUCAUGGCCCUUAUAGGUGGGGCUACACACGUCAUACAAUGGCUGGUACAGAGGGUUGCCAACCCGGCGAGGGGGAGCUAAUCCCAUAAAACCAGUCGUAGUCCGGAUCGCAGUCUGCAACUCGACUGCGUGAAGUCGGAAUCGCUAGUAAUCGCGGAUCAGAAUGUCGCGGUGAAUACGUUCCCGGGUCUU